GCCGUAAAGCGGAAGCUGAGCGGCGGGCGGCCGGAAGCGGGGUCGCGGGGGUGAGGAGGAGGGUCGCGCCAUGAAGCCGGCUGUGGACGAGAUGUUCCCGGAGGGUGCGGGGCCGUACGUGGACCUCGACGAGAUUUUGAAGAUCUCUUUGAUGACGAUGACAUCCAGUGAACUUAGUCUUCCAGCUAUGCAGUGCUGAGGUGUGGAAUUCUGCUCUAGGAUCACCUGUGGUGUCCAUUAUUUAUUAAAAGAAUCAAAACAGAAAAAAUGGGGGUGGGUGGGAAACAAGACACGUAAGCUUCUUGGGAAUAUGAAAACCAGAUCGUUGAAGAUAACUGUAAAAGGAAUUGUGGACUGCCACCUCUAGGACGCUGUGUAGGGGGUUUUUUUGUUGGUUUUUUUUGUUUUGUUCCUUGUUUCUGUUUAAUUUUACUUGCUGAUGUGCUCAUUUAAUAAAAUCUUGACAAAAUCUC
This is an RNA transcript of Dromaius novaehollandiae (emu), 473 nucleotides long. RefSeq lists it as uncharacterized. The transcript is spliced from 2 exons. NCBI's taxonomy places the organism in Eukaryota, Metazoa, Chordata, Aves, Casuariiformes, Dromaiidae. The record is from RefSeq and is a predicted model, not a curated record.